GCAGCCGCCGCGGGAAUACGAAGGGUGCAAGCGUUACUCGGAAUUACUGGGCGUAAAGCGUGCGUAGGUGGUGGUUUAAGUCCGUUGUGAAAGCCCUGGGCUCAACCUGGGAAUUGCAGUGGAUACUGGGUCACUAGAGUGUGGUAGAGGAUAGUGGAAUUUCCGGUGUAGCAGUGAAAUGCGUAGAGAUCGGAAGGAACAUCCGUGGCGAAGGCGACUAUCUGGGCCAACACUGACACUGAGGCACGAAAGCGUGGGGAGCAAACAGGAUUAGAUACCCCUGUAGUCCCUGUCUCUUAUAC
Molecule: ribosomal RNA, 302 nt
Filed under: uncultured bacterium
Lineage: Bacteria
Description: partial 16S ribosomal RNA
Rfam family: Bacterial small subunit ribosomal RNA
Source: RNAcentral